UACGUAGGUGACAAGCGUUUGUCCGGAUUUACUGGGCGUAAAGAGCGCGCAGGCGGUCGUUUCAAGUCGAGUGUGAAAGCCCCCGGCUCAACUGGGGAGGGUCAUUCGAUACUGAUCGACUCGAAGGCAGGAGAGGGUAGUGGAAUUCCCGGUGUAGUGGUGAAAUGCGUAGAUAUCGGGAGGAACACCAGUGGCGAAGGCGACUACCUGGCCUGUUCUUGACGCUGAGGCGCGAAAGCUAGGGGAGCAAACGGGG
This 256-nucleotide ribosomal RNA is filed under the name uncultured bacterium. RNAcentral's name for it is "partial 16S ribosomal RNA". It matches the Rfam family "Bacterial small subunit ribosomal RNA", at positions 524 to 777 of the family's 1533-position model. The record is from RNAcentral.